UCAGCCUAAUAGUCAGAGAACUAGUGUGACUUACUCUGGUGAAAAGAAUGUUCAACCAAGCUGGUCUUUGAGUUCAAUAUUUGGAAGGAAAGUCAGUGGAAGAUGUGUUCUUGCAAAGUCUAGUAAUGUAUACCUUCAGCUUGAGAGAGGUCUAGUUGCCGAACUAAAGAAAAACAAGAAUAAUGGGGUUGGCAAUAUAGCUUCUGAAGGGUUUUGGAGUGGAACUGGGUUUGAAUUGUCAGUUAGACCAGACAAGGUGUUUGAAGAAGAGAAUAGCAGUCACAGAAGGGGCUCUUCAGUCCUUUUUGAGUUUUCCAUCGAUAAAUACAGUGACUCUCAGCCUUUUGAUCUAGGCCUUAAAUGGAAAUUUCCUGUAACGUGGUCAUCUGAACCAGCACCGUUACAUGCUAGUAGGUUCUUGAUGGGAAGUGGGAAUGAAAGGGGUGCAAUUGCUAUCCUGUUGAAAUCUGCAGACUUAAAUGAUGCCUCCUUGGGUACUUGUAGCAGUAGUAAUGGAUAUAAAUUCCGAGUUGAUGUUUUCCAAGUUGUACCUUGGUAUGUUAAGGUAUAUUAUCAUACUCUUCAGUUGUUUGUGAAUGGCCAACCAAAGGCAGUUGGAGAUGUUAUAGAGACGAUUCACGUUUCACCUUCCAAAGACAAGAUAUCACCUGGAGUCAUGGAGAUGGUUUUGCAAUUUCCUUGUGAUGUGAAAUCAGCUGCUUUAACAUUAGAGUUUGAUAAGGGUUUCCUACACAUCGAUGAAUAUCCUCCAGAUGCUAAUCAAGGAUUUGAUAUUCCAUCAGCUGCAAUAAGCUUUCCCAACUUUUAUACCAGCUUGCUUUUUCCUGGCAAUUGUUCUGUGGACAAGUCACCUAUGUUGUCAAAAUUUCAGGAAAAAAAUCCUGUUCUCUCUUAUACAGAAGUAUUACUUGUGCCGUUGACAACUCCUGAUUUUAGCAUGCCAUACAAUGUCAUCACAAUCACAUGCACUGUAUUUGCAUUGUAUUUUGGAUCAUUGCUAAAUGUUCUUCGAAGGCGUGUGGAUGAGGAGGAAAGGCUUCUUAAAAGCAAAGCUGGCAAAACCACUCCGCUUUCUGGGCUGCUUUCAAAGUUAUCUGCUAAGCUAAGAGGAAGACCACAGGAAACUCCUCAGUCACCAUCUAAUUCAUCAUCCUUGAUUAGUUCUAAAUUGCUGUUGAAAGUCUUUUUAGUAGCUGUGUUAGCUGUUGCUUGGCAAUACUAUUUUGGAUGACAUCUUCAAUUACU
RNAcentral lists this unclassified non-coding RNA (1266 nucleotides) under Hevea brasiliensis (rubber tree). Lineage: Eukaryota; Viridiplantae; Streptophyta; Magnoliopsida; Malpighiales; Euphorbiaceae. The record is from RNAcentral.